This 418-nucleotide ribosomal RNA is filed under the name Bacillus cereus. RNAcentral's name for it is "bacterial LSU rRNA". It matches the Rfam family "Bacterial large subunit ribosomal RNA", at positions 2512 to 2925 of the family's 2925-position model. Lineage: Bacteria; Bacillati; Bacillota; Bacilli; Caryophanales; Bacillaceae. The record is from RNAcentral.
GGAGGUUUGGCACCUCGAUGUCGGCUCAUCGCAUCCUGGGGCUGUAGUCGGUCCCAAGGGUUGGGCUGUUCGCCCAUUAAAGCGGUACGCGAGCUGGGUUCAGAACGUCGUGAGACAGUUCGGUCCCUAUCCGUCGUGGGCGUAGGAAAUUUGAGAGGAGCUGUCCUUAGUACGAGAGGACCGGGAUGGACGCACCGCUGGUGUACCAGUUGUUCUGCCAAGGGCAUAGCUGGGUAGCUAUGUGCGGAAGGGAUAAGUGCUGAAAGCAUCUAAGCAUGAAGCCCCCCUCAAGAUGAGAUUUCCCAUAGCGUAAGCUAGUAAGAUCCCUGAAAGAUGAUCAGGUUGAUAGGUUCGAGGUGGAAGCAUGGUGACAUGUGGAGCUGACGAAUACUAAUAGAUCGAGGACUUAACCAUAUAA